GGAGACUGGCUGCAAACCACGUGUGGUACAGAAACAGCUUUCUCCGGUGGCCGUGUCGGAGGACUCGCAGGAUUGGCAGCAGUAUUUCAGCUGUGUCAACACAAUCACAGUAUUUUCAGUUCCUGAUAACAUCCUCAGUUCCUGAUUCACCCUUUCUAGGGACUUUUUUUUUUUUUUUUUUUUAAACAUUGGGAGGUCAAACUCUGUAAGGUGUAACUGCAGCUGGUACAACCCCGUGCUGCUGCUUUCGUUUAGGAAAUGCUUGGUCAGGGCUGUUCUCCAGUUGCUUUCUAUUUUCUCGUUCAUCCGUACCUGCAGACUGAUAAUCCACAGCCGUAACAGCGCAACAUGGGAACAGAUGAUGCUCUUAGGGCACUUUUUUAACCCAACGCGAAGCUGUUUUCGGGGCGAGGGACUGACACCUGGCACGAGCUUUUAAACCGUGUAGCCCAAAAGGUACAGGCUCUAGUAGGUCGCUAACCACGUGCUACCAUGAUGAUGGCACCCAGACAUGACACCUCUCUUUACAGAUCUGCACAGACUGUAUAUUUUUCUUCAGGGAUGCACAUUCCUAGAGAUAAAUCUCUUUCCUUAAUCUCAAAUAUUUGGUUGGUGAUUACUUGUGUAUCUUGCAGAUUUCACUGGAAGUGUCCUUUGGUGGUUUUGUGACAGAAGAUGAACUUUUUAUCUUUUCUGUUGCUUGGGUUGAAGCUGAUACGGAAGAAAUAAUAUCCAAUCUCUGUUUCUUAAGGUACAGGACCAGUCUGUCAGGCUGUUGGCACAAAACAACAAUUGUUUUAUUGUUGGGGUAAGUAAAUAAGAACAAGAAGUCUUAAGUAUUGGCAUAUGUUGAUACUUGGCCAAAAAGGUCUCUAAACAAUACAUUUUCUAUUCAUUCCAGAAACCUCAUACUCCGUUAUUUUUCAUUUAAUGCUGUUGGCAAAUACCCAUGUCACCAUCUAAUUUUGACUGUAGUUCAACUUUUUUAGUGCAAAGCUAAUCCUCAUUAUAGUUGUAAACAUGUGUUUCAUUUGGCCUCGUGCUCAUGUGCUAAAGUGACAAAAGCAAUCUAGGGUUUCUAUCAGAAAUGGAGAUGUAUAGGUAAGCAUUUUGUUCGGUCUACUUCAUCUUUUAUACAGUGAAAAUCAGCCCAGUUGCUUAAUAGGGAAGAAUGUUUUUAUAAGCCUCUCUGUGCUCUCGUGCUUGGCCUGUUUCCUGCUCUGCAUCUUUUUUUGGAAAGAUGGGACACACCAAGGAGGAAAAGAACAAGUGAAACUGUGAACGAUCAUGAGAGCCAUUAGGGUCUUGUGUGGCGGCUCUGUGUGUGUCUUCUACAUCUUCAUGUGCUCUUCAGGCACCAACUAUUUUUUUUUACUUUUUAUUUCAAUAUGCCUCAGUUUUCAUGGAGAUCUAAAAGUUCAGUCCUUAAUGAGGCUUUACUCAAAGUGAAUCUUCUUUAAAAUGAGACUUCAUGUAAGGGAUCACAAAGCAGCAUCCCUGAAGUUACAAUUCACUUUCAGGCAAUUUUAUUUUGCACGGUUUAUAGUUUUUAAAGGCAAAAUUCAGCCUGACUUCCCUGCCUCUAGUGGAGCAAGUGACAAACUGUUUAUCAAAAUAAUCAGAUUCCCAGAAGCCUGGCGGUGACUACACCUGAGGUUUAAGUGUUGUCGGCAGUCACCAAACUCCUUAAAUGCAGCACCGCAAAAAAAAACCCCAAAGCCCUGAGCCUUCCGAGGACAACAAGGCACCGCUUCUCUGAGUCAAGUGGGACCGGACCUGGUGACUAUGGUUUCUUUCAUAAGGACAGGAUAGAAUACAAUAGCACAGAAUAAGAUCUUUCCAGUUGGAAGGGGCCCCCAACAAUCAUCUAAUCCAACUGCAUCAAUGUCCAACAACAAAAAUUAUCCCAUUGCAGUGAAGCUCCUGACUGAAGUAUAGAUUCCUGUUGGCUCUUUUGCUAAUUACUGCUAAGUUACGAUGUCACCUAGGAAUAGGUCAGAGGGAGAAGGCUGGAGGCACAUGGUGAAGGAGGAGCUUUGGUCCUGGCUAUGGUCUGCAGUGUGAUGGGGGUCAGCACUGGUGGUUGCAAACUAUUGCCGUCCUGCAGUGGGGAUGGUGAAAUAGGAAGUCUCCUGAGAAAUUCCCCAGCAGACACAGUCCAUCUGCUUGGACUGGGGUGGGUACCACAACUUCAGCAGCUGGCAACUUGGUCAAGUUUGCCUGUGCCAAAAGAAAAACAGUUUGCCGCAAAACAUUCCUCUAUGUUCAAAUACACGCUUUGGCCACAAACAUUUCUCUGUGUUUGCAUAUACCACUGAGUCGCAAAUUGUCUUCUUGUAUUUAAAUAGGUCCCAAAUUCAAUCCAUACAUUUCCAGCCAUUAUCACCCCAUUAUCCUUUCUCUUUCUUGCUAUUUUUCUCACCAAGCAGUGGUAAACCCCAGGCCCUUUCUCAAACAUGUGGUUGAUAUAAGAGGAAAGUUCUUUUCAAAUAUUAGAAUGGUUUUAAAUAUUGUUUUAUAGCAAUCGUGGUCAUCUGCAAGAAAUCAGUUUUCAAAGAAGUGUUUGAUGGACUGACAACCACUUGAGCCUGGGAUGAGAUUCAAUGGUCCAGUACAAACUGGGUUAGGACUCACUGUUCCGGAGAGCACCGGAGUUUAGAUGAGACUGAUGGAGCUGAAUUUUGAAACUACCCAUUUGCCUUUUGAAAUUUGUUGGGAUCCAGGCUGGCAACAGCAAAAUAACGUUUUACACCAUGAAGUGGUCACCCUGAUUUGACAACGAUGGAAAACUGCGGCUGUCCAAUAGCUGUUGGAGCGCCUGAAGCAUCCGUCCUACGGCACUUGUCACCACGUUUAGCACAACCGUGUUGGUAACCAGGGCAAAGAACUGGACGAGUCUUGUGGUGACUGAGGCUGGAGGAGACCUGGUUUGUGUCAGGCAGGCUUGGAGGUGCAGCACACGGAGAUUUCACCCUGAUGGUGCCGUGGGAGAAGUUCAGGGCUCUGACAUCUCUGAUGUCUGCAGCAGACACGUGACCGUGAAAUCGGAUCCUAGAGGAAAAAAAUCUCUUUUCUGCCUUUUAGCAGUUCCCUAGAACCCUCAUCAUUUAGGUGAGGGGUUUUGGGGGACAUCGCUCUUGAGCCUAGGUGCCUGCUCUGUGAGGAUCAGAGCUAGCUGAGACCUUAAGAGUACGGAGGAAGGUGGCAUGCUGUGCACAGAGGGCAGCGGUAAGGAGAAAUGAGAAAUGUGUCGGACAAGUCACACCCUCUUUCACUGGCCCAAGGGACAAAUGCAGUCAUGACCUCCCAUCCUCUCGAUUAAAGCUCUGCAGUUUUUACUGCUUCCACCCAGUAUAUCUAUUUUUGUUAUAUAGCUUCCCCUAACAACAUUUAUCACCCUCCAAUGCACGCAGGUUUGUUUCCUACAUGCUUCAAUUUAUGCUUUUUGCCAUUAACUGCAUGUUGUUUUGUCUGUCGAUUUAGAGGACUUUCAAUGUGAAGUUUCAGUGUGUUAAUAUGGAAGAAACUCAAAAAAAACUCUUUCUUGGCUAGAAUUCAUCGGGUUCUCAGCAGAAUGGUUGUGUUUCGAGUUGCUAUAUUCACUGUGCUGCAUGGCUGAUGUACCCACAGGAUGAGCUACCUGCUGAAUUUUCCAUCGUUUAUAUGGGUUUUACUGGACACCCAGGUUCAGAAGCAGCAAUGACUUGGGGUUGCUUUGGUUUUUCUAGUUUUCUUUUUUAUUUGUUUGGGUGCUGGAAAGGAGCAGUCAAGGCUUUAGUGAUCAGGAGCCGACACUGGCGCUGCUUUAAAAAUCAUUCAUGCUUUUCAGGUGCCCAGCUUCCAAACUACUUAGGGCACAAGGGGAAAUGUAAACAUUGUUCUGUUAUUCAACCUACUACACAAGAGCAUUGAGCCUGACAAGGCUGCAGGUACCCCCGUGUCCCGUCCUUACCUAGAUCAGACGCUGAUAUCCCUCCCCAGUGACACACAAUCUGGCAGGCUGCUUUUCACUGUAACAAUUGGCCACUGUAAAUGUUGGUUAUGCUUCUUCAUGCCUGCCCUGCCAGAGCUACUUCCAGGAGCUUUUCGCUGCAUUUCUCAGGAUUCAAGCUUGUAGCAGAUCUUUCUUAAAUGCCGUUUGAGGGCAUGUUGCAUUUAAUUGAUCUGUAUAAGGAGGGAGGUGAUUUUAGAUAUUCUUGUGAACCUCAUAUCAAAAGGCUAUCCAGACUUUUUUUUUUUUUUUUGCUCUCUAAGAUAGAUAUACGUGGUAUUAAAAAUUGUGAGACUUCGUGGUAGAGCAAAGGUCAUGAUGGAUGAAGCUGUUUGUAGAGCCCAAAGCUGGCUGCAGAGCGUGAGAUGGAUUUCAGGUUGUGCUGUUAAUAGGCUUUACGCUGGACACGGAGCAGGUAACGGGGCUAACGAAGCUGAAAGUGCUUGUCGCAGAAACGAACACAGGGAGGGCCUCAGCAGGAGAGAGCGGUGAUGAGCUCAAAGGUCGUUAUCGAGAGCAAAACUUGGUGUCUUUGCUGGUGCACUGGUCUUGGAGGGAAAGCAGAGGAGGAGCCAUCCCCUCUGGCCCGCCACUGGUACACCCUGCUCUGCCUUUGAUGAACAUGUUCCAUAUUUAUACCCAGGCCAGCAGAGAUUGCAGGGCCAGGUCUGGCAAAUACUAACGGUCUGACUUUGCAACAGCGUAAGAGCUUUCAAAAUGCUAAUUUAAAGUAUAAGACAUAUAUAAGAAUUAUAAGCAGUAAUAAAUGUGUUCCAACCCAGGCAGGAGAGAAUUACUUCUUCUGAUCAGCUGGCAGAGCUGGAUUUAGAACAGGACUCUGGGCUUUGGUGUAGUUUGAAUUAAGCUGGAUUUCUGCAUUUUAUUAUUUUUAUAGUCUCUUCCCGUCCGACAGAGAUCUCUAUUUCUUUGCUAACGUAAAGCGUAUGACUCUGUGUUGCGUACACUGUGCAUAGCUCAGGCAAGAAGGUGGCAGCAGCCCACUCCUCUGCCAGGGAAUCAUUGUGCGUGAUGGUUCAAGGCUCCCCAGGCUGGUGGAUGCUCCCAGGAUGGUCCUCCCCAGCGUGCCGGCAUCCGAGGGGAGACAGCCUCUUCCCAAAAACCUACCCUCUCUUGCUGUGCUGAGAGACCUUCUCUGCUGGCCCUGGAAGCAGUAGGGAAGUGCUCCCAUCUAGAGCAGUUUGCUUCUCUUUGCUUACCUUUGGCCUCUGGGUCAGGAAACCUUAAUAAUUUCCUUUUUAUUAAUUUAAUCCAUAGUUCCUAGUAAUUACCAUAAAUUAAGCCUGCUGGGGGGGAAAACACAGCCAAUAAAGUACAGAAACUGCUAGCUUUAUUUGGGUAACGUCAGUACCUGGAGGAUUGUUUCCUGUAGGUCAGUCCCUUGGUUGCUGUGAUUAACUUCGGAUCAGACCAGACCGAAAGGCAGAGAGUUUCCCAUCCACCUUUUAAACGAGGCUCAGCCGUGCCAGGAAUUCUGCUAAUGCACAGGGUCCUAUUAAACGCUUAACCUUGGUGUGAAGUGAACUUAUUCCUGCCCCCGUGCAGGUACCGAAUGUUUCCUGAGGACUGUUUCUGUCUGGUUGGAGUGGACUCGUCUGGAGGCACCGGUUUGUUCUUCUCGAUGGUGUUCACCCCGGUGAGCUGACAGCAGCGGGCACGGUUCUCCUUUUAACCCCCUGGAGCUCAGCAUAUGGAUGCAAAUCGUGCGUUAUCUCCCGAGAACAACAAAAAAUAAUAACCUGGAUAUGCAGCAGGAAAAUAUAUAGCGGUGUUUUGCAAAGACCCUUCUUUGGUCCUCCUUAGCAGCACCUUUGGAAAUGGGGCACUUGGAGCGUGAUGAAGAAAGUGGGAAUUAUAACAAGCCCUUGGGAUGAGAGGCUGACUCCGGGAGCCCGCGGAGGCCCCACUAGUAAAGGGUUGCUGGUUUCCUUUUCUAACUGGGCUGAAGCCAGGCAUUCCUGAGUGGCACCGGUCCUCCCAGCGCUGGAAAGGAAACGUUCCCGUUUGUUAGCUGUGGAAGUGCACGCCUAAGCCAAAGGUUACCAGGCUGAGGUGAUAUUUUUGCAUUCCUACAAUGUCUUAGCUUUUUUAAAUUAAAUUCUUGCAACAUGAG
Molecule: long non-coding RNA, 6122 nt
Organism: Falco peregrinus (peregrine falcon)
Lineage: Eukaryota; Metazoa; Chordata; Aves; Falconiformes; Falconidae
Exons: 3
Source: RefSeq, a predicted model, not a curated record